AUGUUUCAAGGGCAUGAGAAGUCUUUAAUCAUCUUUGUCUUUGUACCAGCUGGUGGCACAGUCCUCUGCCCAUCACAGGCCUCCGUUAAAUGUUGGCUGAACGGAAUUAUUAAGAAGAAAGGACUGAACUAUGGCAAAACAACAGUUUCAAAUGAAAUCCACAAAACGACACAUGCCCCCAGUUCUCCUAAGUUCCUCCUGAGAGCUGCUGGCACAAGGAGCACUUUUUUCCCAAUUUUAGACUUCAUCUGGGUGACAAAUGUAGCCAAGAAGUCCUCAGCAAGGUGCCAGGGACAAAGGAGGAUCUCAAACAUUCUUGGGGGGCACACUUCCCGGUUGCCUGCCAGGCUUCCAGGGGCUCUCCCGGCCUCUCAUCCUGCCGCCACUUCCUUCUUCCCCUGGGGACAGUCACUCUCCACUCUCCCUUCCCAAGUGUACUUGUCAAAACCCCACAGAACCUCACAGAAAGGUAAGAUGGGGGAAAGGGUGUGAUAAGGUCCUGGGAUUCUUUCAAUUUAAACCCUUCACUGUAUUUUUCUUUGGGUUGUUUUUUGUUUUUGUUCUUUUCCUACUGAAGAAAACUACAUCAUCACUGUGAAGAGGUGCUGAUUUUUACUAGGAUUUUACUUCAAAUUACUGCGGUAUGAUGUCUAAGCUGAAAAGAACCUCAGAAAAAAUUUCAUCAUAUCCCCAUAUUUCACAGAUGGAGAAAGGUCCAGAGAAGUUAAGAACUGCCUAACUACAGUUACACAAAGAACUCCCCAGAAUCUCAGAUCCUGAAUGGGCAAGAGUUGUUACCUAAUCCACCUCCAGAAUCCAACACAGAGUACAGCCUUAAUAAAUGGCUGGUAACCGGAACUAAAUGAACACAACUAAUAGUGGGAAAUUGAGGACUAUAACCCACAAUGUCUUACUUCAAGAACAGGGUUUUGGGAUGGCUGGGUGGCUCAGUUGGAGUUAAGUGUCUGCCUUCGGCUCAGGUCAUGUCAUGAUCCCGGGGUCCUGGGAUCCAGUCCCACAGCGGGCUCCUUCCUUGGUGGGGAGCCUGGUUCUUCGUCUGCUGGGCACUCCCCCUGCUUGUACCCACCCACUCUCACACUCUCUGACAAAUAAAUAAAAUCUUAAAACAACAACAAAACAGUGUUUUUUCAUCACAUGUGACUAGAAAGCUGGAGUCUCUGGAUGAUAAUUCAUGGGGGGUAGGGAGACAGCCGACCCCAUGGAAUUCAGACUCUCCCUCCUCAACAACUAGGUAUACUUCCUUUAUCUCUGACACCACCUUAUAAUUCCAACCUCUAUAUGUUCUAAUUGCUCUAAAAAUCAUGUAUUUCUUGAUUUCCUAAAAUACCCCUUCUCUCACACUCAGAAAAUCUUUUAUCUUCAAUUACUUUUUUCCCCCCAAGUUUUUUUUAAAUUCCACUUAGUUACUAUAUAGUAUAAUAUUAGUUUCCAUGUAUAAUUCAGUGAUUCGGCACUGCCAUAUGACACUUGGUGCUCAUCAAGACAAGGGCUCCCCUGAAUCCCGAUCACCCAUUUCACCCAUCUGCCCCACUCCCCGCUGGUAACCAUCAGUUUGUUCUCUACAGCUAUGAGGCUGUUUCUUGGUUUGCCUCUCCCCCUACACAACGUUCAUCUGUUUUGCUUCUUAAAUUCCACGUAUGAAUGAAAUUGUAGGGUAUUCAUCCUUCUCUGAUCUUCAAUUACUUUCUUAGUGACUAUCCUCUUUGGGUUCCCUCCUUAUACUUUAACUUGCCACAAACUACAACUAUCUUCCCUUGUGCUUCCCUAAGUCAAUAUUUCUCAACCUUGGCUGCGUAUUGGAAUCAUCUGGGGAAGUUUAAAAGAAUAUAAAUUCCUGGGUCCUACCCUCAGAGUUCCUGAUUUAACUGGCCUAGGUGAGGGAUGGCCAAGGAAUGAAAUUUUUUUAGAAACUCCCUAGGGGAUUCUAAUGCAGAGCUUACUAACGUAGAGAGCCUCUGCCUACACCCUCAGAAAUUCACUGCUUAGUCCAUUAUAUACCCUAAAGAUAAUGUGUUGUUCUGGAUAUGCAAAAUCUUAAGACUGAAGACAUAUUAAAACAACACCCUUAAUUUACAUCUGUCAUAUUUAGUAAAGAGGCCAGUGAUGUUCUAUAAAUCACUAAUUAUAACAAAUGGCCAGAAAAGCUACACUGGAGCUUUCUGACUCAGAAACACAUUUAGUUUAUGAUUUUUUUUUCAACCAAGGAUCCAGGGUCUUUCAAAUCCAGAUGGUCUUUCUGUUAUCAAAAACAGCUUUUUACGGCCAACCCCAAAGAAGCAUAAGAACACAUCGUGUAUUUUCAUGACUCUGCUCAUACCAAUAUUUCUGUGUGGAACACGCUUCCACUGUCUGCACAGAAAACUCCUAUUCAUCCCUCAAAGCCCAGUUCUAUGUAUUGCCUCCUUCAGUCAUUCAUCAAGAAUAGAAUCUACUCAGUGUCAG
Molecule: long non-coding RNA, 2463 nt
Organism: Mustela putorius furo (domestic ferret)
Lineage: Eukaryota; Metazoa; Chordata; Mammalia; Carnivora; Mustelidae
Source: Ensembl